GGGGUUGUGGCUCAGUGGUAGAGUGCUCGCCUCGCAUAUGUGAGGCCCUGGGUUCGAGCCUCAGCACCA
This 69-nucleotide transfer RNA is filed under the name Ictidomys tridecemlineatus (thirteen-lined ground squirrel). RNAcentral's name for it is "Spermophilus tridecemlineatus (thirteen-lined ground squirrel) tRNA". It matches the Rfam family "tRNA". From Rfam's summary of the family: Transfer RNA (tRNA) molecules are approximately 80 nucleotides in length. Their secondary structure includes four short double-helical elements and three loops (D, anti-codon, and T loops). Further hydrogen bonds mediate the characteristic L-shaped molecular structure. tRNAs have two regions of fundamental functional importance: the anti-codon, which is responsible for specific mRNA codon recognition, and the 3' end, to which the tRNAs corresponding amino acid is attached (by aminoacyl-tRNA synthetases). tRNAs cope with the degeneracy of the genetic code in two manners: having more than one tRNA (with a specific anti-codon) for a particular amino acid; and 'wobble' base-pairing, i.e. permitting non-standard base-pairing at the 3rd anti-codon position. The record is from Rfam by way of RNAcentral. Lineage: Eukaryota; Metazoa; Chordata; Mammalia; Rodentia; Sciuridae.